RNAcentral lists this ribosomal RNA (113 nucleotides) under Mytilus coruscus. Lineage: Eukaryota; Metazoa; Mollusca; Bivalvia; Mytilida; Mytilidae. The record is from RNAcentral.
CUACGACCAUAUCACGUUGAAAACACCGGUUCUCGUCCGAUCACAGUUAACAAACGUCGAGCCCGUUAAUUACUUGGAUGGGUGACCCAUUCUGGGAAUACCGGGUGUUGUAG